UGGGGAUUAGUGGCGAACGGGUGAGUAACACGUGGGCAAUCUGCCCUGCACUCUGGGACAAGCCCUGGAAACGGGGUCUAAUACCGGAUACUGAUCAUCUUGGGCAUCCUUGAUGAUCGAAAGCUCCGGCGGUGCAGGAUGAGCCCGCGGCCUAUCAGCUUGUUGGUGAGGUAACGGCUCACCAAGGCGACGACGGGUAGCCGGCCUGAGAGGGCGACCGGCCACACUGGGACUGAGACACGGCCCAGACUCCUACGGGAGGCAGCAGUGGGGAAUAUUGCACAAUGGGCGAAAGCCUGAUGCAGCGACGCCGCGUGAGGGAUGACGGCCUUCGGGUUGUAAACCUCUUUCAGCAGGGAAGAAGCGAAAGUGACGGUACCUGCAGAAGAAGCGCCGGCUAACUACGUGCCAGCAGCCGCGGUAAUACGUAGGGCGCAAGCGUUGUCCGGAAUUAUUGGGCGUAAAGAGCUCGUAGGCGGCUUGUCGCGUCGGAUGUGAAAGCCCGGGGCUUAACCCCGGGUCUGCAUUCGAUACGGGCAGGCUAGAGUUCGGUAGGGGAGAUCGGAAUUCCUGGUGUAGCGGUGAAAUGCGCAGAUAUCAGGAGGAACACCGGUGGCGAAGGCGGAUCUCUGGGCCGAUACUGACGCUGAGGAG
This 654-nucleotide ribosomal RNA is filed under the name Streptomyces sp. PC5071. RNAcentral describes it as "bacterial SSU rRNA". It matches the Rfam family "Bacterial small subunit ribosomal RNA", at positions 86 to 753 of the family's 1533-position model. Lineage: Bacteria; Bacillati; Actinomycetota; Actinomycetes; Kitasatosporales; Streptomycetaceae. The record is from RNAcentral.